This 253-nucleotide ribosomal RNA is filed under the name uncultured bacterium. RNAcentral describes it as "partial 16S ribosomal RNA". It matches the Rfam family "Bacterial small subunit ribosomal RNA", at positions 524 to 776 of the family's 1533-position model. The record is from RNAcentral.
UACGAGGGGGGCUAGUGUUGUUCGGAAUCACUGGGCGUAAAGGGAGCGUAGGCGGGCGUUUAAGUUAGGUGUUUAAUCCCGGGGCCCAACCCCGGACCGGCACCUAAAGCUGGACGUCUUGAAUAGUGGAGAGGUCGGUGGAAUUGGAGGUGUAGCGGUGGAAUGCGUAGAGAUCUCCAAGAACACCCGUUGCGAAGGCGGCCGACUGGACACAUAUUGACGCUGAGGCUCGAAAGCAUGGGGAGCAAACAGG